This 1043-nucleotide ribosomal RNA is filed under the name Bacillus sp. B-1(2008). RNAcentral's name for it is "bacterial SSU rRNA". It matches the Rfam family "Bacterial small subunit ribosomal RNA", at positions 33 to 1045 of the family's 1533-position model. The record is from RNAcentral. Lineage: Bacteria; Bacillati; Bacillota; Bacilli; Caryophanales; Bacillaceae.
GGGCAGGGCGGCGUGCUAUACAUGCAGUCGAGCGCGGGAAGCGAGCUGAUCCCUUCGGGGUGACGCUCGUGGAACGAGCGGCGGACGGGUGAGUAACACGUGGGCAACCUGCCUGUAAGAUCGGGAUAACUCCGGGAAACCGGGGCUAAUACCGGGUAAUACUUUCUUUCGCAUGAAGGAAAGUUGAAAGAUGGCUUCUCGCUAUCACUUACAGAUGGGCCCGCGGCGCAUUAGCUAGUUGGUGAGGUAACGGCUCACCAAGGCGACGAUGCGUAGCCGACCUGAGAGGGUGAUCGGCCACACUGGGACUGAGACACGGCCCAGACUCCUACGGGAGGCAGCAGUAGGGAAUCUUCCGCAAUGGACGAAAGUCUGACGGAGCAACGCCGCGUGAACGAUGAAGGUCUUCGGAUCGUAAAGUUCUGUUGUUAGGGAAGAACAAGUACCGUGCGAAUAGAGCGGUACCUUGACGGUACCUAACGAGGAAGCCCCGGCUAACUACGUGCCAGCAGCCGCGGUAAUACGUAGGGGGCAAGCGUUGUCCGGAAUUAUUGGGCGUAAAGCGCGCGCAGGCGGUUCCUUAAGUCUGAUGUGAAAGCCCACGGCUCAACCGUGGAGGGUCAUUGGAAACUGGGGAACUUGAGGACAGAAGAGGAGAGUGGAAUUCCACGUGUAGCGGUGAAAUGCGUAGAUAUGUGGAGGAACACCAGUGGCGAAGGCGACUCUCUGGUCUGUUUCUGACGCUGAGGUGCGAAAGCGUGGGUAGCAAACAGGAUUAGAUACCCUGGUAGUCCACGCCGUAAACGAUGAGUGCUAGGUGUUAGGGGGCUUCCACCCCUUAGUGCUGAAGUUAACGCAUUAAGCACUCCGCCUGGGGAGUACGGCCGCAAGGCUGAAACUCAAAGGAAUUGACGGGGGCCCGCACAAGCGGUGGAGCAUGUGGUUUAAUUCGAAGCAACGCGAGAACCUUACCAGGUCUUGACAUCCUUGGACCUCCCUAGAGAUAGGGAUUUCCCUUCGGGGACCAAGUGACAGGUGGUGCA